UCCGGUUUGUCACCGGCAGUCUCAUUAGAGUGCCCAACUGAAUGUAGCAACUAAUGGCAAGGGUUGCGCUCGUUGCGGGACUUAACCCAACAUCUCACGACACGAGCUGACGACAGCCAUGCAGCACCUGUGUUACGGCUCCCUUUCGGGCACCCUCACAUCUCUAUGAGGUUCCGUACAUGUCAAGGGUAGGUAAGGUGGGGAUGACGUAUGCGUAACAGAA
RNAcentral lists this unclassified non-coding RNA (223 nucleotides) under uncultured Gammaproteobacteria bacterium. RNAcentral describes it as "contains 16S-23S intergenic spacer region". Lineage: Bacteria; Pseudomonadati; Pseudomonadota; Gammaproteobacteria. The record is from RNAcentral.